Molecule: transfer RNA, 72 nt
Filed under: Ornithorhynchus anatinus (platypus)
Lineage: Eukaryota; Metazoa; Chordata; Mammalia; Monotremata; Ornithorhynchidae
Rfam family: tRNA
About the family: Transfer RNA (tRNA) molecules are approximately 80 nucleotides in length.
Source: Rfam by way of RNAcentral
AGCAGUGUGGCUCAGUGGAAAGAGCACGGGCUUGGGAGUCAGAGGUCAUGGGUUCGAAUCCCGGCUCGGCCA